UGCAGUCGAACGAUGAUCCAGCUUGCUGGGGGAUUAGUGGCGAACGGGUGAGUAACACGUGAGUAACCUGCCCUUAACUCUGGGAUAAGCCUGGGAAACUGGGUCUAAUACCGGAUAUGACUCCUCAUCGCAUGGUGGGGGGUGGAAAGCUUUAUUGUGGUUUUGGAUGGACUCGCGGCCUAUCAGCUUGUUGGUGAGGUAAUGGCUCACCAAGGCGACGACGGGUAGCCGGCCUGAGAGGGUGACCGGCCACACUGGGACUGAGACACGGCCCAGACUCCUACGGGAGGCAGCAGUGGGGAAUAUUGCACAAUGGGCGAAAGCCUGAUGCAGCGACGCCGCGUGAGGGAUGACGGCCUUCGGGUUGUAAACCUCUUUCAGUAGGGAAGAAGCGAAAGUGACGGUACCUGCAGAAGAAGCGCCGGCUAACUACGUGCCAGCAGCCGCGGUAAUACGUAGGGCGCAAGCGUUAUCCGGAAUUAUUGGGCGUAAAGAGCUCGUAGGCGGUUUGUCGCGUCUGCCGUGAAAGUCCGGGGCUCAACUCCGGAUCUGCGGUGGGUACGGGCAGACUAGAGUGAUGUAGGGGAGACUGGAAUUCCUGGUGUAGCGGUGAAAUGCGCAGAUAUCAGGAGGAACACCGAUGGCGAAGGCAGGUCUCUGGGCAUUAACUGACGCUGAGGAGCGAAAGCAUGGGGAGCGAACAGGAUUAGAUACCCUGGUAGUCCAUGCCGUAAACGUUGGGCACUAGGUGUGGGGGACAUUCCACGUUUUCCGCGCCGUAGCUAACGCAUUAAGUGCCCCGCCUGG
This 807-nucleotide ribosomal RNA is filed under the name Arthrobacter sp. RODSPM6. RNAcentral's name for it is "bacterial SSU rRNA". It matches the Rfam family "Bacterial small subunit ribosomal RNA", at positions 56 to 876 of the family's 1533-position model. The record is from RNAcentral. Lineage: Bacteria; Bacillati; Actinomycetota; Actinomycetes; Micrococcales; Micrococcaceae.